AAUUCCACUCCCCUUAUCCCUUCCAGGAUUUAAUUCAAUUAUUAUAAGUAUACAAAACCAAUGCUUGUAAUUAUUUCUUUUCAUGUCACUUUUGUUCACUGUUCAACACUGGUUGAGAAUACUUUUCUAAAAUUGCACAAUUUGCUUUUUUCCUUUUUUCUUCUUUUGACCGUCUAUCAUGUGAUCAGGAAGCACGCCUUCAAGGUUUCGAGCCGUAGAAACAACCUUUUACAGAAAUGCAAGACAAAAUUACGUACCAUAGAUCCUUAUGAUCCGAUCUUUUCUCGGACCCCUUACAUAACAGCAGCUUAGUACACCGAGUUAUUUGUUUGACUGCCUGUAUUUUCUUUCUUUAGUUUCUAGCCCUUUUAAUCCAUAUUGUUUAAUACAUGAAUAAAUUGCGUCCAAU
This 409-nucleotide long non-coding RNA is filed under the name Nicotiana benthamiana. RNAcentral describes it as "long non-coding RNA (NBEN_LNC024562)". The record is from RNAcentral. Lineage: Eukaryota; Viridiplantae; Streptophyta; Magnoliopsida; Solanales; Solanaceae.